UUAAGCUCAUACAUACGGGCUCUAAGUCGAUUGGAGGGUAGUUGAAGGUAGUUUCUAAAAGUAGAAGGAGAAUUCUGGAAUUUCAUAAGGAAUAGAGAUGUGAAUGUAAUUUAUCAAAACAUUAGCUCCACAGCUGAUGCUGAUAGCUCCGAUCUCCUGCUUCUCAAGACGAAAACUGCUGAACUGAGAGAAGAUUAGAAGAAGAUACAGAGAAGAUGUUCAGGAGAAGAUUCCUGUCGUUUCCGCUGGUAAUUGGCGCAGUUAUAAUUGGAGUUGUCUCUGGGAAAGCUAUAUUUGCGCAACCACUUGAUGAAUAUUGGAAGAAGAAACUUCAGGAGGAGCCAGCCGCAAAAGAAAAUGAUGUAAGCACUUCAUAGUGUUUGAUCAGAGGCAUAUCUGACCUUAAUAUCAUAGUAUUUUUCUGUUGGCAGUUACUCCUUAGAAAUGCUUUGUGCAGACACAUCCUCAUCCAAAUAGCUUAGUACACGAUGCUUUGGAAAUUUCAUCCUUCAGUUGCUUGUAUGAGACUGCCCAUCAAAAUUCUGUUUUUUUUUCUUUUCUUGUUGAAAUAGACACGCAAAAGCAACUACUGUGACAUUAUGGUUCAGGAGAAAUAUUACAUGCCAAUUGGGAUAAAA
Molecule: long non-coding RNA, 638 nt
Organism: Solanum dulcamara
Lineage: Eukaryota; Viridiplantae; Streptophyta; Magnoliopsida; Solanales; Solanaceae
Exons: 2
Source: RefSeq, a predicted model, not a curated record